AGACGUCUACAUUAGACUACCCCGGUAGUCCCAGCCGUAAACUAUGCGCGUUAGGUGUAUCGGUGACCACGAGUUACCGAGGUGCCGAAGGGAAACCGUGAAACGUGCCGCCUGGGAAGUACGGUCGCAAGGCUGAAACUUAAAGGAAUUGGCGGGGAGCACCACAACAGGUGGAGCCUGCGGUUUAAUUGGACUCAACGCCGGGAAGCUCACCGGAUAGGACAGCAGAAUGAUUGCCGGGCUGAAGACCCUGCAUGACUAGCUG
RNAcentral lists this ribosomal RNA (265 nucleotides) under uncultured archaeon. Its description in RNAcentral is "partial 16S ribosomal RNA". It matches the Rfam family "Archaeal small subunit ribosomal RNA", at positions 717 to 982 of the family's 1478-position model. The record is from RNAcentral.